AUAUAGGUGUAUCGUAGGAUGCUUAAAAGGGAAUAUGGUGAAAUUCCAUAACAGCCCUCCGCUACUGUAAGAAUGACGAAGGCUUAAGAGUUUGGAGACUCUAACUCCACUGGUGUAUGCUGGGAAGGAGAAGUUUGUAGGAUGAGUUCGAAGUCAGGAGACCUGCCUAAAAAUAU
Molecule: non-coding RNA, 176 nt
Filed under: human gut metagenome
Source: RNAcentral